Molecule: long non-coding RNA, 1552 nt
Organism: Athene cunicularia (burrowing owl)
Lineage: Eukaryota; Metazoa; Chordata; Aves; Strigiformes; Strigidae
Exons: 6
Source: RefSeq, a predicted model, not a curated record
CCAGGCUGUGAUUUUAGUGUUGGAAAAAAAGAAAAAAAAAAAAGUGCAAGCAAACAAAACCCCCUCCCCUUACAACAACAGCCAAGAAAAAUGGUUCGUGUGUCCCAGACGAGCGUUGCAUGUUCUUCUUUCUCUGGAAAUGUUCAUCUAAUUUGGCCACCGGCACUGGGGGAAGUUCAGCUUUCAAACAGAAACCUCAUUAGUUUCUCCCAGUUUGGGUCUAUGCAGUUUUUCCCAGUUCUGCCUUUGAUUGUUUUGCCUUUUUGUCUUCUGAAUCAAAGAAAGCAUGAAAGUACUUGCGGAGCUGUACGCAAGGGAAUAAUCCACCCAGGCCACUGAAAUGCUCACAGAAUAUACUUUUUUGGUGAAAUCUUCCAGACCCGAAGUCUUAGAAAAACUGCCGGAAUAAUAACGCAACCAUUCUUUAAAGCAAAGGAAUGGAACCAAGAGGUUGGCCGAUGAUCUUUACCACCGAGGACGGCCACUUGCAGCUCCCGGAGACUCGUUCAGGCCCUUUCUCGUCUCCUCUUGCCCUGUGAGAUGACUCACUGCACGGACCCAGGGCUGUGCCACGGACGUCCUUCUCUCCGGGAGGAAUUUUUCCAGGAUUGUUACUCCUUGGAAGAGUGCCCAAACUCAAGAUGCCAUGGGGAUUGGGAAGAGCCUGAAUUCAGAGCUUAUGCAGCGGGGAGGUAACCAGCCAGGUCUGAGGCAGCAAGGGGAUGCCUCGAGGGGCACAACUGGCCAGAGGUUUUGUCUUUGCCAGCCCCAGAAGGCAGAUGGAGACUGGCAGCAGCUGGAGCCCGGACUGCAGCACUGUGUUGGGACUGUUUCCACAUACCCCGCUGUAGAAAAAUGAUCUUGACCUAUAAGUUACCUGGUGAUUUUUGUUGCUCAUCCCCUCAUUUGCCAGUGGUAUCUAAAUGGGAUUUACACACCAGCUUUCAGCAUCCAGGAACGAACCAGAGCGGGGGCUGCCAAUCCAUUAUUUCAAGGUACGUUUGCAAAUAAAGCAUAAAACUGAGGUUUUAUGCACAAGUACACUUACAUUAGGCUGUAAAACCAUCCCUAACUUAGCUUCAGGCCCCGUGUCCGUCUCCUUCGGCGCGGCAGCGGCUUUGCCAGCGCUCCUGCACGCACCCGCCGCGGGUUCAAUGGGCCGUUACGUUCCUCCAGGCUGCCUCCCUGGAGACAUUUCCAAAAAAAAAAAAAAAAAAAAAAAUCCUAACCUGAUUAUGAUAGAAUAAAGGACAUAAAAAUGAUAUAUUGCUUUGUGUAUUUUUCAUAUCAUGUGCUCAUGACACUGUUUUUCCAUGUGCUAAAAAUACGUUCUAUAACGGCGGAAUCGGUCCCAAGCUGCCGGUGGCCAAAUUGAUGGAUACGCUUAGUCCUGAAGAGCUCGGGCUUCCUUUGGUUUCUUUCCUCAGUGAUUGUGUCUGGUCCUCAGCGAUAAAAAUACAAUUAAUUUUUGGCAUUAAAAAAUAAAGGUGUCCCAUAAAAGAAAGCAGCCCCCUACAAAUAUAUUACAGGGAGGAUAAAUUGUGCAGUCACC